Orcinus orca (killer whale) is the source of this 1898-nucleotide RNA transcript. It is a transcript of the gene named zinc finger CCCH domain-containing protein 15-like, with no coding region annotated. The transcript has a single exon. Lineage: Eukaryota; Metazoa; Chordata; Mammalia; Artiodactyla; Delphinidae. The record is from RefSeq and is a predicted model, not a curated record.
AUGCCCCCCAAGAAACAGGCUCAGGCUGGGGGCAGCAAAAAGGCGGAGCAGAAAAAGGAGAUUAUCGAAGAUAAAACUUCUGAUCUAAAGAAUAAGAAAGGAGCAAAGCAACAGAAGUUUAUCAAGGCUGUCACUCAUCAAGUUAAAUGUGGUCAACAAAAUCCACUUUAGGUAGCAUAAAGUGAAGCUGAAAAGAAGUUGAAGAAAGAUGACAAGAAGAAGGAAUUGCAAGAGCUAAAUGAGUUGUUCAAACCUGUAGUUGCCGCUCAAAAAAUAAGUAAAGGUGCAGAUCCCAAAUCCAUGGUAUGUGCAUUCGUCAAGUAAGGACAGUGUACUAAAGGAGAUAAGUGUAAGUUCUCUCAUGACUUGACUCUGGAGACAAAAUGUGAAAGGCGAAGUGUUUACAUUGAUGCAAGAGAUGAAGAGCUUGAUAAAGAUACUAUGGAUAAUUGGGAUGAGAAAAAACUGGAAGAAGUAGUAAACAAGCAGCACGGUGAGGUGGAAAAGAAAAAACCAAAAACUCAAAUAGUGUGCAAGCAUGUCCUUGAAGCUAUUGAAAACAACAAAUAUGGCUGGUUUGGGGUAUGCCCUAGAGGGGGUAAUAUUUGCAUGUAUCAUCAUGCACUUUCUCCUGAGUUUGUCUUUAAAAAAGAUAAAAAGAAGAAAAAGAAGAUGAAAUUUCAUUAGAAGAUCUAAUUGAAAGAGAGCAUUCUGCCAUAGGUCCAAAUGUUACCAAAGUUACGUUAGAAUCUUUUCUUGCAUGGAAGAAGAGAAAAAGACAAGAAAAGAUUGAUAAACUUGAGCAAGAUAUAGAAACAAGGAAAGCAGACUUCAAAGCAGGGAAAGAGUUAGUGAUUAGUGGUUGUGAGGUGUUUGAAUUUCGUCCUGAACUGGUUGACGAUGAGGAGGAGGAAGCUGAUGAUACCUUUUAUACCCAGGGAACAGGUGGUGAUGAGGUUGAUGAUUCAGUGAGCAUAAAUGACAUAGAUUUAAGCCUGUACAUCCCAAGAGAUGCAGAUGAGACAGGUAUUACUGUAGCCAGUCUUGAAAGAUUCAGCACAUAUACUUCAGAAAAGGAUGAAAACAAAUUAAGUGAAGCUUCCGGAGGUAGGACUGAAAAUGGUGAAAGAAGUGAUUUGGAAGAGGACAACGAAAGGGAGGGACAGGAAGAUGGAGCCAUUGAUUCUGUUCCUGUUGACGGAAGUCUUCUUACUGGGGAAGAUUUGGAUGAACUAGAAGAAGAAUUAAACACACUUGAUUUAGAAGAAUGACACCAAACAAGUCAAUGAAAAAAUUAAGCCAGCUCAGCAUGAGUUGAAAUUGACUACAUUAAUUUUUUUCCACCUAGAAUUCAACAGGAUGUUUGUUUCCCAUGCUGAUUCUGGAGGGCUUACUCUCCUCCAAAAAAGGAAUAUUCUCCCUACAUCUUGUCUUCUGACUUUGGCUACAUCUCAUAGUAAGUUCAGAGUAGUUCAUGAUAAAUUAAAAAUAUAAUGGUCAUUGCAGAAAAUGAUUGAUUGUUUUAACUGUCCACUCAAGUAGGAAGUGUAACUGCUUUUCCAGCUUUUGAUUUUCAUUGGGUAUGUGUUAUUAGAAGGACAACAUAAAUUUAAAUUACCCUUCAUUUAAUGCAGUUUUUAAUGAGUGAUUUUCUUUCCUUUGUAUUUAUAUGUUCAAAAGGCUGCCUAAGAUAUGAGCCUGUACUUCAUAAAGGAAACUGUGUAUGCAGAUUCAGUAUUGUAUAUCUUUGGACAAUUAGAUGGACAUUUAAAAUGAAACUUCAUUAGUCUGCCAGGAUCAGCUGCAAUGCCCUGUGUUAAACUGUUUUAAACUAUUCCUUUUCUUUUUUGCCAAUAAAGUUGUAAAUAAAGACCUCGAUACAUUGAAAUCCAAAAAAA